This 254-nucleotide ribosomal RNA is filed under the name uncultured bacterium. Its description in RNAcentral is "partial 16S ribosomal RNA". It matches the Rfam family "Bacterial small subunit ribosomal RNA", at positions 524 to 776 of the family's 1533-position model. The record is from RNAcentral.
UACGAAGGGGACUAGCGUUGUUCGGAAUCACUGGGCGUAAAGCGCACGUAGGCGGAUUUGUAAGUCAGGGGUGAAAUCCCGGGGGCUCAACCUCGGAACUGCCUUUGAUACUGCGAGUCUUGAGUCCGAUAGAGGUGGGUGGAAUUCCUAGUGUAGAGGUGAAAUUCGUAGAUAUUAGGAAGAACACCAGUGGCGAAGGCGGCCCACUGGAUCGGUACUGACGCUGAGGUGCGAAAGCGUGGGGAGCAAACAGG